GACGGGGAGCGAUGGCUCAGCGAGUAAAGCAUUUGGUGCACUCGCAUGCGACCUGAAUCUGGGCCCCAGCAUCGCGUGGAAAGCCCCCUGUGGCCACGUGCCUAGGGUCCUAGUGCUCAAGGGAGCAGAGAUGGGAGGAUGGCUGGGCCUCCCUGGUCAGCCAGUGUAACUGAAAAACAGCACCAGCUUCUGUUUCCACGAGAGAGAGACCAUGCCUCAAGGAAAUAAGUUCACUGUCUGUCCAGUCCAUCCCUUGGGUGAAGAGACAAGGGUCUGGAAGAAGACUCGCCUAUUUCGCUACUGACCUUACCAGAAAAGGUUCAUUGUCCACCUUCCUCCACCAGCAACGUAGCCAGUUUCCCAUGUCGCUCAUGCUGCACUCUGAUAGGUUGAGAUACAUCCUCUGCUUAGCCAGAUCCAUGAGGAAGAACUUGUCUGUAGUGACAGUCCUGAUGUCUCAGACCCAACUCUCAUUUACUCCACCUGAGGAACAGAUGAUUAACUCACCUGACUGACAGUUUUGAGGAAGGAACGGUAGGGCUCCAUCUUGUGAUCUACACUAUGAAUUAACUGCUCCCUGGAUGGUGUGGUGAGCUCAGCAAAGCAUGCUCCAGAACAGGCUUACUGUUUUGGGGUGGAGGCUGACUCUGGCUGGGGGUGGUGGCCUAGACCCAUUGCUCCCUCCCCUGACUGUCUAGGAGGCAUCAUCAAUUCAACUCCCAGACUAUGGAUGCACAGGAGGAAGCAGACUAUUCAUUUUCUGCUAUGAAUUUGCUGAGAUGCCAGUUUAAUAAACAAAAUAAAUAUCUUUUCCCUAUGUUUUUUUUCUCAUUAUGAAUAUGUAUGAGCUCUUGGAACUUUGGCAAGAGGCAGACUCGAGGCGACAGCUUCAUGGAUUUAGAGCCCCAGUUGGGGGGGGAUCUGGAGAUUUGCAAGCUGUGUUCCUCAGCACAUCCCUCACGUCCACUCUGGGCUGCUGAAGAGGCGAAGAGGACAUGAGAUGAGAGCCAUGCUCACACACGCCGUCAGGAAACAGCUAGCGGAUACCCGCUGCCUGGUAGUCACAGUGGGAGCUGAUACCAUAAAAAUGGCCAUGACAGGGCUGGAAAGAUGG
This is a long non-coding RNA of Jaculus jaculus (lesser Egyptian jerboa), 1114 nucleotides long. RefSeq lists it as uncharacterized. The transcript has 3 exons. The record is from RefSeq and is a predicted model, not a curated record. NCBI's taxonomy places the organism in Eukaryota, Metazoa, Chordata, Mammalia, Rodentia, Dipodidae.